UACAGAGGUCUCAAGCGUUGUUCGGAUUCAUUGGGCGUAAAGGGUGCGUAGGCGGCGCGGUAAGUCGGGUGUGAAAAUCUCGGAGCUUAACUCCGAAACUGCAUUCGAUACUGCCGUGCUUGAGGACUGGAGAGGAGACUGGAAUUUACGGUGUAGCGGUGAAAUGCGUAGAUAUCGUAAGGAAGACCAGUGGCGAAGGCGGGUCUCUGGACAGUUCCUGACGCUGAGGCACGAAGGUCAGGGGGAGCAAAACGGG
This 256-nucleotide ribosomal RNA is filed under the name uncultured bacterium. RNAcentral's name for it is "partial 16S ribosomal RNA". It matches the Rfam family "Bacterial small subunit ribosomal RNA", at positions 524 to 777 of the family's 1533-position model. The record is from RNAcentral.